Molecule: ribosomal RNA, 263 nt
Filed under: uncultured bacterium
Lineage: Bacteria
Description: partial 16S ribosomal RNA
Rfam family: Bacterial small subunit ribosomal RNA
Source: RNAcentral
GGUUGCCUACGGGGCGCAGCAGUGGGGAAUAUUGCACAAUGGGGGGAACCCUGAUGCAGCGACGCCGCGUGGGUGAAGGAGCGUUUCGGCGCGUAAAGCCCUAUCGGCAGGGAAGAAGAUGACGGUACCUGACCAAGAAGCCCCGGCUAACUACGUGCCAGCAGCCGCGGUAAUACGUAGGGGGCAAGCGUUAUCCGGAUUUACUGGGUGUAAAGGGGGCGCAGACGGCAAUGCAAGCCAGGAGUGAAAGCCCGGGGCCCCAC